Molecule: ribosomal RNA, 476 nt
Filed under: Fusarium oxysporum
Lineage: Eukaryota; Fungi; Ascomycota; Sordariomycetes; Hypocreales; Nectriaceae
Description: eukaryotic LSU rRNA
Rfam family: 5.8S ribosomal RNA (bases 167-320)
Source: RNAcentral
CCUGCGGAGGGAUCAUUACCGAGUUUACAACUCCCAAACCCCUGUGAACAUACCACUUGUUGCCUCGGCGGAUCAGCCCGCUCCCGGUAAAACGGGACGGCCCGCCAGAGGACCCCUAAACUCUGUUUCUAUAUGUAACUUCUGAGUAAAACCAUAAAUAAAUCAAAACUUUCAACAACGGAUCUCUUGGUUCUGGCAUCGAUGAAGAACGCAGCAAAAUGCGAUAAGUAAUGUGAAUUGCAGAAUUCAGUGAAUCAUCGAAUCUUUGAACGCACAUUGCGCCCGCCAGUAUUCUGGCGGGCAUGCCUGUUCGAGCGUCAUUUCAACCCUCAAGCACAGCUUGGUGUUGGGACUCGCGUUAAUUCGCGUUCCUCAAAUUGAUUGGCGGUCACGUCGAGCUUCCAUAGCGUAGUAGUAAAACCCUCGUUACUGGUAAUCGUCGCGGCCACGCCGUUAAACCCCAACUUCUGAAUGUG